GAAAGCAUGGGUAGCGAAGAGGAUUAGAUACCCUCGUAGUCCAUGCCGUAAACGAUGUGUGUUAGACGUUGGAAAUUUAUUUUCAGUGUCGCAGGGAAACCGAUAAACACACCGCCUGGGGAGUACGACCGCAAGGUUAAAACUCAAAUGAAUUGACGGGGACCCGCACAAGUAGUGGAGCAUGUGGUUUAAUUCGAAGAUACGCGCAGAACCUUACCAACACUUGACAUGUUCGUCGCGACUCUAAGAGAUUAGAGUUUUCGGUUCGGCCGGACGAAACACAGGUGCUGCAUGGCUGUCGUCAGCUCGUGUCGUGAGAUGUUGGGUUAAGUCCCGCAACGAGCGCAACCCUCACUUUUAGUUGCCAUCAUUAAGUUGGGCACUCUGAAAGAACUGCCAGUGAUAAGCUGGAGGAAGGUGGGGAUGACGUCAAGUCCUCAUGGCCCUUACGUGUUGGGCUACACACGUGCUACAAUGGCAUCUACAACAGGAAGCAAAACGGCAACGUUAAGCAAAUCCCGAAAAGAUGCCUCAGUUCGGAUUGCACUCUGCAACUCGAGUGCAUGAAGCUGGAAUUAGUAGUAAUCGUGGAUCAGCGUGCCACGGUGAAUGCGUUCCCGGGUCUUGUACACACCGCCCGUCACACCAUGGGAGUUGGUUCUACCUUAAGGCAAGGUUUUAAACCCUUGACCACGGUAUAGUCAGCGACUGGGGUGAAGUCGUAACAAGGUAGCCGUA
RNAcentral lists this ribosomal RNA (738 nucleotides) under uncultured bacterium. RNAcentral's name for it is "bacterial SSU rRNA". It matches the Rfam family "Bacterial small subunit ribosomal RNA", at positions 755 to 1504 of the family's 1533-position model. The record is from RNAcentral.